UGAAUCUUGAGUUAGUCUUGGUUAAUUAUAGCAGGCGGCUGACAGUGGCAGGGCAGAACUCACUGCACUCAUGUCAGUAAACAAUGACGCACUGAAAAGUGAAGUUAGGAAAACAUUUAACAGUUAACUUCCCGAAUCAUCAAAUUUGAUUGCAGUUUUCUUAGUUGAUUUUUUUUUUCUGUUUUCCUUUUUAAAAGCUGUCUUAUACAGAAGUGAUUUUAUCUAAUGGUCUGUUCUAUCACUGGUAACAGGAGACUGGUAGCAUUUCUCCAGUAGUGUAUCUGCUGCUGACUUCAGAAGGAGGCCUCUUUUCUUUUUUUUUCUGUUUCCUGUUUUUUGUUAUUUUAGCCAUACGAAUAAAGAAUGAGGAAGAUGGAACAGUUUUCUGUAGAGCCUUAUGUAUUUGCGGUUUCUCAUUCUGUCUCUGUCCUUGCCUAGCAAUUAAAGCAUCUCUUAGGGCUCCGUCAAAUAGGCUGUUUGUUUCAGUAGCAUUGCACAUCUCAUAAUCCCAUUUUCCUUGUUGAAAUGAAAGCUAGGAACUUAGAUAUAUCCCUGGAUUCUCGUGUUUGCCACAUAUGUAUGCGUACAUUCUAGAUGAGGAAAAUGAGGCUAAACAGUGAAAUAUCUAGCUUGAAACUCCAUCAUCAGAACA
This 652-nucleotide long non-coding RNA is filed under the name Bos taurus (domestic cattle). RNAcentral's name for it is "long non-coding RNA NONBTAT024933". Lineage: Eukaryota; Metazoa; Chordata; Mammalia; Artiodactyla; Bovidae. The record is from RNAcentral.